Molecule: long non-coding RNA, 1677 nt
Organism: Sceloporus undulatus (fence lizard)
Lineage: Eukaryota; Metazoa; Chordata; Lepidosauria; Squamata; Phrynosomatidae
Exons: 3
Source: RefSeq, a predicted model, not a curated record
CUAGAGGAGAGACUUUUCUGUUUGUUCUGUUUCCUCCUUAAUAAGAACUUAUUGAAAUUCAGAGCAAUGAGGUGGAAAGCACUCGAGGUGUUGUUUUCAAAAUGAUUUGGAAAGCAAGGAAGAUCAACAGGUUCACCCACUGCUAUCAUUUGCCCCUUUAUCUAUGCAUUUGACAAACUCUAUGAAAGUCCUCAUAUAUUUGUUGGUUCAUAUUCUCAAUCAAGGUCUCUACAAAAAGCCCCUGUUGAAGCCAUCUAACUUCAUCUAGGUCAUCUAGCUUUACCCAUGUGGCCAGGAGCCCCCUUCUGAUAUCACUGGCUGUGAUUGUGGCCUGCAAGAAGAACAGCAGCAGUGGCAGCAGGAAUCCACCAUAAUCCUUUCCCACCUGUCGGCAUGGAGCAGGAUGUAAAAGAAGUGGAGCUUCCGUUCUUCUCCUCCGACCAUCAUCCGCAGCCGGUGUAUACUUCAGAGUAUUCCAGCCCUUGAGAGGAGUGUCCGUACAAUGGCGGAGAACCACAGGAUGAGUAGAGUAACAACUGCUGUCAGGCAAAAUAACAGGGUCAGAAGACAUGGUUAAUGAAGUUACAGCAACCGGUGCAAAGAGCCAAUCAGAAAAGGCAACAGUCUGUAAAUGGGGAUAUAAUUAGCAGGAGGGAAGGGGGAGUUAACAUGCUUUGGUUGGAAUCGCAGAAAGUCUGUAAUGAAGGAAAUGACUAGGUAUUGAGGAAGAUUCCAAAAGAUUAGAGCAAACAUUGUGCAACAAAGGCUACCUAAUUAGUAAGGUUGGGGGGAGUGAAUAUACCUUAAUUAGAAGGAAAUAUCUGAUUGAAAGACACCAAGUUGCCUUUUUAAUGGGGAAAAUGCGGUAAUGAGCAUUAGCCACUGAGUCGUCAUUCCAUUCGUAGAACCAAGAUUAUCACUCCAGCUCUCUUCCUUUACUUGCCCGUUACUCUGGUAUGUAAUAAAUACAUGUGAUGGGAUCAUUGUAGGAGCAUUGAAAAUUCCAUAACUGCGCCACGAUAUUAACUGAAAAGUGACAACUGAAACCAUCAUUUGGAACCAGUUCCCCAGAUUUACUACAUGAUAACACCUUUGUGUAAACUAUAGUAAUGUGGUGUCAGUUAAGCUCUAGGAAAAGGUUUGUAAAGCUUAACAAAGAAAUAAAGUGUAUGUGUGUGUGAAAGAGAGAGAGAGGGAGCAACUUACAUUCAGGAUAUAUAGAUUAGAUGAAAGCAUCUAGUCUCACAAUCCUUACCCAUGACAAAUCUCUGAAAGCAAGACUUAUUUGUCUUACAGUAUAAUGCUACACAUAUCUGCUUGGAAAUAAGUCCCACUGUGUUCAUUACAGCUUAGUCUGUAAAAAGUGUGUUUGGGACUGAAGUUUAAUGGUUGAUCUUACAAUAGUGGGAGCUAGACGCUUGCUAAAAUAUUUAUAUACCACCCCAUCUUUAAUUUGAUUUGGGGGCCAUAUGUAAUAGAAAAAGUUAUCCAUGAAUCCAGAAAAUUUUGAUUAAUACCAAACAAGGUAAUUAUUUUUUUUAACAUUUUAGAGCUUCAAAUAAAAGGAUCAAAUAGUGAUUUAUGUAACGUAACAAAUGUGCACUAUUUACUGGCUGAAAUGAUGUAAAAUGGUCACAUUGGCUUGCUUAUCUGUUUAUUACAAUAUAGAAAUAAAGA